AAGGGUAUAACUCAGUGGUAGAGCACAUGCUUAGCAUGCUGGAGGUCCUGGGUUCGAUUCCCAGCACCUCCA
RNAcentral lists this transfer RNA (72 nucleotides) under Camelus dromedarius (Arabian camel). It matches the Rfam family "tRNA". Rfam says of the family: Transfer RNA (tRNA) molecules are approximately 80 nucleotides in length. Lineage: Eukaryota; Metazoa; Chordata; Mammalia; Artiodactyla; Camelidae. RNAcentral also lists the same sequence under 1 other name. The record is from Rfam by way of RNAcentral.